Long non-coding RNA from Oncorhynchus keta (chum salmon), 1428 nucleotides. RefSeq lists it as uncharacterized. NCBI's taxonomy places the organism in Eukaryota, Metazoa, Chordata, Actinopteri, Salmoniformes, Salmonidae. The transcript is spliced from 3 exons. The record is from RefSeq and is a predicted model, not a curated record.
GGCUGUGGGGAGCUAACAUGAUGCAGCCCAGACUCCCAGUGCAGGCAGUGGAGAGCUAACAUGAUGUAGCCCAGACUCCCAGUGCAGGCAGUGGAGAGCUAACAUGAUGCAGCCCAGACUCUCAGUGCAGGUAGUGGGGAGCUAACAUGAUGCAGCCCAGACUCUCAGUGCAGGUAGUGGGGAGCUAACAUGAUGCAGCCCAGACUCCCAGUGCAGGUAGUGGGGAGCUAACAUGAUGCAGACCAGACUCUCAGUGCAGGUAGUGGGGAGCUAACAUGAUGCAGCCCAGACUCCCAGUGCAGGUAGUGGGGAGCUAACAUGAUGCAGCCCAGACUCCCAGUGCAGGUAGUGGGGAGCUAACAUGAUGCAGCCCAGACUCCCAGUGCAGGUAGUGGGGAGCUAACAUGAUGCAGCCCAGACUCCCAGUGCAGGUAGUGGGGAGCUAACAUGAUGCAGCCCAGACUCCCAGUGCAGGUAGUGGGGAGCUAACAUGAUGCAGCCCAGACUCCCAGUGCAGGUAGUGGGGAGCUAACAUGAUGCAGCCCAGACUCCCAGUGCAGGCAAGCAAUGAGAAAGUGGAGCAGGCACGGUGCACACUAUAAUAAGCGGUCAGCUGCGCUGAUAGACAGACUUGAUCCGUGAGCCAUUUGACAUUAGUACCGAAAGUUUUAAACUUCUAGUACCAAACCAUUUUUCAUGUUGUAGUAUUGAAAAAGUACAGACAUUUUUGGUAUACCGUGCAACACUAUGACACAUUAUUAUCUCAAACACUUAAUCUGCAUAAAUGACAAGUUAAUUAGUGGGUGAUGAUUUCAGAACCAAAGUGCAGGACAAAACAUUUUUGGCUACAUUGCUCCCCCCUAAUCUGAUGGUGGUAGAUGCCUAGUCUCCCUUGUGACUCAGUUUAGGUGCCUAGAUAGUAUAUACAUAAUUUAUACACACACAAUGAAAAUGGUGCUACUGUGGAUAGCUGCCAUUUUAUGGGCUCCGGUCCAAUUCUGCUAUUUUGCGUGCUUGAUUUUUUUUUACGCUGAUCAUUUUGUUACAUAAAGUCUCCACCAACAUAUCCGAUGACUGACAACAGCUUGUGGACAUCAGAAUAACGAUCACUAACCUUGAUUUGAGUGAAGAUUUUUACAUCAAUGAUCCUACAGCUCUGAAUGUUCCGCUUACCCCGGAUAAGGCCCUGAUCCCUGGGACUCGAAAGAGGAAGCAGCGGCAAGAGAGGCUGCGUCAUGACGAGACUACGUUGGUGAGCAUCUAGACCGCCAUUUUGUUGGCGAACGUGUAGUCACUGGAGAACAAAUUGGAUGAGCGCCAUUCGAGACUAUCCUAUCAACGUGACCGAAAAACUCAAAUAUCCUAUGUUUCUCGGAGUCAUGAAUGAGGACAUGGAUAUACAAACUUAAUUUGUCACAUGCGCUGAAC